CCCGGGCGCGAAGCGGCCGCUGCGGCCUGUCCCGGCCCGCCGAGCCGAGCCGAGCCGAGCCGAGCCGAGCCGAGCCGAGCCGAGCGGGGCGGCCUCAGCCUCAGCCUCGGCCUCGGCGCCUUCCUGCCGGGCCCGGGGGUCGCGGGGCCGCUCGGGAGCCCGGGGCGUUUUCUCUGCUGACACCGCUGAGAGGAUUUCUGCCCGCUUUGGACAGACUGCAGGCUGUGCUGAUUGAUCAGAMUACAUCCUCCUCACUAACCAGAAUCUACGUUAGAAAAGUCUCAGAGCUACAUGGAACAGUUCCAGUGACUCUCAUCCCUCAAACUGCUYGCAGCUGUCUGCUACCUGGAUGUUACUGUCCAAAAGAGCUCAGCUGGCAGAAGGGAACCUCUGAGCACUUUGUGCCGUUAGCCAACUGA
Molecule: long non-coding RNA, 419 nt
Filed under: Dromaius novaehollandiae (emu)
Lineage: Eukaryota; Metazoa; Chordata; Aves; Casuariiformes; Dromaiidae
Description: lncRNA (ENSDNVG00000007739.1)
Source: RNAcentral